Molecule: RNase P RNA, 370 nt
Filed under: Chitinophagaceae bacterium
Lineage: Bacteria; Pseudomonadati; Bacteroidota; Chitinophagia; Chitinophagales; Chitinophagaceae
Also listed under: 1 other name
Description: RNase P RNA component class A
Rfam family: Bacterial RNase P class A
About the family: Ribonuclease P (RNase P) is a ubiquitous endoribonuclease, found in archaea, bacteria and eukarya as well as chloroplasts and mitochondria. Its best characterised activity is the generation of mature 5'-ends of tRNAs by cleaving the 5'-leader elements of precursor-tRNAs.
Source: RNAcentral
CUACGAUGUUAAGCUAUCGCCUGUAUGAUCUUCAUACAGGAGGAAAGUCCGGACAGCAUAGAGCAGCGUACCACCUAACGGGUGGGGUCCUGGUUUCAGGGCACAGAAAGUGCCACAGAAAAUAACCGCCACAGCUUGCUGUGGUAAGGGUGAAAAUGUAGGGUAAGAGCCUACGCAUUACCAUGGCAACAUGGUUUUGGGGUAAACCUUACGCGCUGAAAUGCCAAAUAGGCGAAUGCUUGAGGGUUGCUCGCCCGAUGUUCGUGGGUUGGCAGAUAGAGACACAACGCGAGUUGUGUCCCAGACAAAUGAUAGCAACUCCGGGGCCAUACGGAGUUACAGAAUCCGGCUUAUUAUGCUGAGUAGUUGU